CUUCAACAUCAUUCUUCUCCUGAGACUUGGCCACUACUCAGCAUCUCACCAACACCCAGCAAGCACCUCACAACAUACACCAGACUCCACAGAAAUAGAAAAAUCAGAGAUGGACCUGCUGUGUGGGUCUUGCCCGAAGCUGUCUGUUGAGCUCCAUAGUGUGCUACUCAUACUAGCAGAGGUCAUACUUGUUCAGGUCACAGAGCAUUGCCAACAGCGAGUGGUAGAACUGGCAGGCCUGUCAAGCUGUGGAUGGCAAGGGCAAAGACAAUCCAUCACCAUCAUGUUGCUGUUGUUGCUGCUGGUUUACCUGUAGGAGAAGCAGCACACCACCUUGAUGAGAACUCUGCUCAUCACUGAUGAUCUGUGUGGUUCUCGUCUGCUAGCAGGUCUUAAGUGCUGUUACUUCUACCACCACCUUUCUCCCAACCACACUUCCUAUGAGUACCCAGUGUGUCAGACUUUGUGGACUUGCAGUGAUGUGAGUAACAAGUUUCCCAGUGUACUAAGUUCUAAGACUCCCCAUCCCAGUGAUAUCAUGACUAUUAUUACUUUUAUUUUAUUUAUUAUUUUUUUGUGUGAAAGGUGUCUACUUGUUCUCCAGAGUCUUUGAGGUAUAAUAAAGAUAGGGGAGAGAUAA
Long non-coding RNA from Scylla paramamosain (green mud crab), 640 nucleotides. RefSeq lists it as uncharacterized. NCBI's taxonomy places the organism in Eukaryota, Metazoa, Arthropoda, Malacostraca, Decapoda, Portunidae. The transcript is spliced from 4 exons. The record is from RefSeq and is a predicted model, not a curated record.